CAUCCCUACGGGGGGCAGCAGUGAGGAAUAUUGGUCAAUGGGCGAGAGCCUGAACCAGCCAAGUCGCGUGAGGGAAGACGGCCCUACGGGUUGUAAACCUCUUUUGUCAGGGAGCAAGAACGGAUACGUGUAUCCGAGCGAGAGUACCUGAAGAAAAAGCAUCGGCUAACUCCGUGCCAGCAGCCGCGGUAAUACGGAGGUGGCAAGCGUUAUCCGGAUUUAUUGGGUGUAAAGGGCGUGUAGGCGGGAGCGCAAGUCAGAUGUGAAAACUCAGGGCUCAACCCUGAGCCUGCAUUUGAAACUGU
RNAcentral lists this ribosomal RNA (305 nucleotides) under uncultured bacterium. Its description in RNAcentral is "bacterial SSU rRNA". It matches the Rfam family "Bacterial small subunit ribosomal RNA", at positions 334 to 636 of the family's 1533-position model. The record is from RNAcentral.